This 433-nucleotide ribosomal RNA is filed under the name Racovitzanus antarcticus. RNAcentral describes it as "partial 12S ribosomal RNA". The record is from RNAcentral. Lineage: Eukaryota; Metazoa; Arthropoda; Copepoda; Calanoida; Scolecitrichidae.
CCUUAACCCAAUUUUAUUAUUAUUCUUUAAGUAAACCCUAAAAAAUUUUUAAGAUUGUUGUGAAUUUAUAUCUUUUUUGGGGAUAGUCUCUAUAAAUAGUGAGUAUAAACCGGGGUUAGUAGCCCGCUAUUCACCUCCCAGCAAAAAGAGAGGAUUAAAAGAUAAAUCUUUAAACAUAAAAAACAUGGCAGUAUUUUACCCCCUGCAGAGGAGCUUGAAUCAUAAUUGAUACUCCUCGUUUGUACUCUCUUAACUUUGUUUUAUGUGUGGUUGUUUAAAUUUAUUUUAAAUCACAUAUUUUAAUUCAGAUAACAUGUAGAGAUAGUUAAGUGUAUUUUAGCUACAAAUAUUAGUUUUAAAGGAUUUGCAAGUAAAGUGGAGCAUCUUGACGGGGCUAUAAGAUAUGUUCAUAUUGUCCGUCACUCUCCGAGAG